CGAGCGAGUCUGCCUUGAAGAUCGGAGUGCUUGCACUCUGUGAAACAAGGAUACAGGCUAGCGGCGGACGGGUGAGUAACACGUGGGUAACCUGCCCAAGAGAUCGGGAUAACACCUGGAGACAGAUGCUAAUACCGGAUAACAACAGAUGAUGCCUAUCAACUGUUUAAAAGAUGGUUCUGCUAUCACUCUUGGAUGGACCUGCGGUGCAUUAGCUAGUUGGUAGGGUAACGGCCUACCAAGGCGAUGAUGCAUAGCCGAGUUGAGAGACUGAUCGGCCACAUUGGGACUGAGACACGGCCCAAACUCCUACGGGAGGCAGCAGUAGGGAAUCUUCCACAAUGGACGCAAGUCUGAUGGAGCAACGCCGCGUGAGUGAAGAAGGGUUUCGGCUCGUAAAGCUCUGUUGUUGGUGAAGAAGGACAGGGGUAGUAACUGACCUUUGUUUGACGGUAAUCAAUUAGAAAGUCACGGCUAACUACGUGCCAGCAGCCGCGGUAAUACGUAGGUGGCAAGCGUUGUCCGGAUUUAUUGGGCGUAAAGCGAGUGCAGGCGGCUCGAUAAGUCUGAUGUGAAAGCCUUCGGCUCAACCGGAGAAUUGCAUCAGAAACUGUCGAGCUUGAGUACAGAAGAGGAGAGUGGAACUCCAUGUGUAGCGGUGAAAUGCGUAGAUAUAUGGAAGAACACCGGUGGCGAAGGCGGCUCUCUGGUCUGUUACUGACGCUGAGGCUCGAAAGCAUGGGUAGCGAACAGGAUUAGAUACCCUGGUAGUCCAUGCCGUANACGAUGAGUGCNNNGUGUUGGGAGGUUUCCGCCUCUCAGUGCUGCAGCUAACG
This 836-nucleotide ribosomal RNA is filed under the name uncultured bacterium. RNAcentral's name for it is "bacterial SSU rRNA". It matches the Rfam family "Bacterial small subunit ribosomal RNA", at positions 63 to 857 of the family's 1533-position model. The record is from RNAcentral.